GGGUAUAACCCGCCUAUAGACGCCGACUACGC
Molecule: non-coding RNA, 32 nt
Filed under: Geobacter sulfurreducens PCA
Lineage: Bacteria; Pseudomonadati; Thermodesulfobacteriota; Desulfuromonadia; Geobacterales; Geobacteraceae
Source: RNAcentral